Molecule: long non-coding RNA, 235 nt
Organism: Hippocampus comes (tiger tail seahorse)
Lineage: Eukaryota; Metazoa; Chordata; Actinopteri; Syngnathiformes; Syngnathidae
Exons: 3
Source: RefSeq, a predicted model, not a curated record
GUUCCUCUUUUCUCGUUCCUGCCAGUAACCUUUCACGUGAUCGUACCAGGAGCCCCACGGCACUGCGCAGCACACUCAAGCAGCAGGUCAGAUCAAAUGCUGUCUCCACGUGAACUUGUUCUCCAACUCUUGUUGUCCCGCUCUAAGGAAAGGACUGCGGACCGGCGUGGGUGCUCGUCUACAGGCCUCCGCAUCACCGUUGUGAAGAAGCAGGUCAACUAUCUCCUGGGUCCAU